UAACACGUAAACAACCUGCCUUCAGGAUGGGGACAACAGACGGAAACGACUGCUAAUACCGAAUAAGUUCCAAGAGCCGCAUGGCCCAUGGAAGAAAAGGUGGCCUCUACCUGUAAGCUAUCGCCUGAAGAGGGGUUUGCGUCCGAUUAGCUGGUUGGUGAGGUAACGGCCCACCAAGGCGACGAUCAGUAGCCGACCUGAGAGGGUGAUCGGCCACACUGGGACUGAGACACGGCCCAGACUCCUACGGGAGGGCAGCAUG
This 262-nucleotide ribosomal RNA is filed under the name uncultured bacterium. Its description in RNAcentral is "partial 16S ribosomal RNA". It matches the Rfam family "Bacterial small subunit ribosomal RNA", at positions 111 to 348 of the family's 1533-position model. The record is from RNAcentral.